This 292-nucleotide ribosomal RNA is filed under the name uncultured bacterium. RNAcentral's name for it is "partial 16S ribosomal RNA". It matches the Rfam family "Bacterial small subunit ribosomal RNA", at positions 505 to 796 of the family's 1533-position model. The record is from RNAcentral.
GUGUCAGCCGCCGCGGUAAUACAGAGGGGGCAAGCGUUAUUCGGAAUUAUUGGGCGUAAAGGGCGCGUAGGCGGUUUUUUAAGUCAGAUGUGUAAUCCCCGAGCUUAACUUGGGAACUGCAUCUGAGACUGGAAGGCUAGAGUACUGGAGAGGGUGGUGGAAUUCCUCGUGUAGCGGUGAAAUGCGUAGAGAUGAGGAGGAACACCAGUGGCGAAGGCGGCCACCUGGACAGUAACUGACGCUGAGGCGCGAAAGUGUGGGUAGCAAACAGGAUUAGAAACCCCAGUAGUCC